Molecule: transfer RNA, 63 nt
Filed under: Planktomarina temperata
Lineage: Bacteria; Pseudomonadati; Pseudomonadota; Alphaproteobacteria; Rhodobacterales; Paracoccaceae
Also listed under: 5 other names
Rfam family: tRNA
About the family: Transfer RNA (tRNA) molecules are approximately 80 nucleotides in length. Their secondary structure includes four short double-helical elements and three loops (D, anti-codon, and T loops).
Source: RNAcentral
GGGUAGCUCAGGGGUAGAGCAGUGGACUGAAAAUCCUCGUGUCGGUGGUUCAAAUCCGCCCCC